UUUAUUAUUUCGGGAAAAAGUAUAAGUUGUACGGCGGGUUUGGGACUCGUCAGUCCUUGGGUCAAGGUUUCCCGU
Molecule: transfer RNA, 75 nt
Filed under: Crassadoma gigantea
Lineage: Eukaryota; Metazoa; Mollusca; Bivalvia; Pectinida; Pectinidae
Description: tRNA-Pro
Source: RNAcentral